This 496-nucleotide ribosomal RNA is filed under the name uncultured bacterium. RNAcentral's name for it is "partial 16S ribosomal RNA". It matches the Rfam family "Bacterial small subunit ribosomal RNA", at positions 28 to 506 of the family's 1533-position model. The record is from RNAcentral.
GAUGAACGCUGGCGGCGUGCCUAAUACAUGCAAGUCGAGCGAACAGACGCGGAGCUUGCUCCUCUGACGUUAGCGGCGGACGGGUGAGUAACACGUGGAUAAUCUACCUAUAAGACUGGGAUCACUUCGGGAAACCGGCGAAAAUACCGGAUAAUAUAUUGAACCGUAGGGUUCAAUAGUGAAAGACGGUUUUGCUGUCAGGUAUAGAUGGAUCCGCGCCGCAUUAGCUAGUUGGUACGGUAACGGCUUAUCAAGGCAACGAUGCGUAGCCGACCUGAGAGGGGGAUGGGCCACUCAGGAGCUGAGACGCGAUCCAGACACCUACGUGAGGCAGCGGUAGGGAAUCUACCGCAAUGGGCGAAAGCCUGACGGAGGGACGGCGCGUGAGUGAUGAAGGUCUUCGGGUCGUAAAACUCUGUUAUUAGGGAAGAACAAAUGUGUAAGUAACUAUGCACGUCUUGACGGUACCUAAACAGAAAGCCACGGCUAACUACGG